Molecule: ribosomal RNA, 429 nt
Filed under: bacterium
Lineage: Bacteria
Description: partial 16S ribosomal RNA
Rfam family: Bacterial small subunit ribosomal RNA
Source: RNAcentral
UAGGGAAUCUUCGGCAAUGGGGGCAACCCUGACCGAGCAACGCCGCGUGAGUGAAGAAGGUUUUCGGAUCGUAAAGCUCUGUUGUAAGAGAAGAACGUGUGUGAGAGUGGAAAGUUCACACAGUGACGGUAACUUACCAGAAAGGGACGGCUAACUACGUGCCAGCAGCCGCGGUAAUACGUAGGUCCCGAGCGUUGUCCGGAUUUAUUGGGCGUAAAGCGAGCGCAGGCGGUUUAAUAAGUCUGAAGUUAAAGGCAGUGGCUUAACCAUUGUUCGCUUUGGAAACUGUUAAACUUGAGUGCAGAAGGGGAGAGUGGAAUUCCAUGUGUAGCGGUGAAAUGCGUAGAUAUAUGGAGGAACACCGGUGGAGAAAGCGGCUCUCUGGUCUGUAACUGACGCUGAGGCUCGAAAGCGUGGGGAGCAAACAGG